This 429-nucleotide ribosomal RNA is filed under the name Bacillota bacterium. RNAcentral's name for it is "Firmicutes bacterium partial 16S ribosomal RNA". It matches the Rfam family "Bacterial small subunit ribosomal RNA", at positions 355 to 776 of the family's 1533-position model. The record is from RNAcentral. Lineage: Bacteria; Bacillati; Bacillota.
UAGGGAAUCUUCGGCAAUGGACGGAAGUCUGACCGAGCAACGCCGCGUGAGUGAAGAAGGUUUUCGGAUCGUAAAGCUCUUUUGUUAGAGAAGAACGUUGGUAGGAGUGGAAAAUCUACCAAGUGACGGUAACUAACCAGAAAGGGACGGCUAACUACGUGCCAGCAGCCGCGGUAAUACGUAGGUCCCGAGCGUUGUCCGGAUUUAUUGGGCGUAAAGCGAGCGCAGGCGGUUCUUUAAGUCUGAAGUUAAAGGCAGUGGCUUAACCAUUGUACGCUUUGGAAACUGGAGGACUUGAGUGCAGAAGGGGGGAGUGGAAUUCCAUGUGUAGCGGUGAAAUGCGUAGAUAUAUGGAGGAACACCGGUGGCGAAAGCGGCUCUCUGGUCUGUAACUGACGCUGAGGCUCGAAAGCGUGGGGAGCAAACAGG